Long non-coding RNA from Lutra lutra (Eurasian river otter), 1545 nucleotides. RefSeq lists it as uncharacterized. The transcript has 3 exons. The record is from RefSeq and is a predicted model, not a curated record. NCBI's taxonomy places the organism in Eukaryota, Metazoa, Chordata, Mammalia, Carnivora, Mustelidae.
CUGAGGCCUCCACACAGACACAGCAACCGACGGGCUGCCCCUCUCCUUACCGCAUGCUGCGACGCACCCACAUGAGCUGCAAGGAGGCACCCCGACAGGCACCGGUCCUGGUGUCUCUAGUCCCAAACCACUGGCGAGGGCAGCCCUCUGUCUCCUUUCAGCCUCAGCUCCCUGUCCUCAAAGUCCUCCAGGAGCUGGGGGCCGUGUCCUCUGGGAGGGGCACCAUGGCUGCAGCGUCUCACAAACCAGCCAUCGUGGAGAGACAAGAGCCCCUGGUGAAGCCUUAGCGGGUCUUCCCUCCCCUCCAGCAUGGAUCACUGCACAUUCACGCCUCCGGGACAGCGCCUUCUAGAAGUCAUCCUGAGGCCCUCACACAAAACCUGCCGGCGGCAAGCAGGAGACUCUCGUUCUUAGAAGGGCCUCGCUCACAGUAGGUUCACCAAGUGCGGAUUUCAUGAAUAAAGGAAAUUCGACCACCCUGUGGCAGUGCCAAAAAGUAAACUGAAUCCUCCGGAAGUUCGCUCCCGCCGUCCCAGGACCCGGAGGUGAGGAAGGAGGCAGAAACUCCUUUCAGAGCACUGCACCAAGAGCCCAAGGGAGCGCCCGCUGCAGAGUCCAGACAGAGAAACCCUGCAGGACAAAUGACCCAAGCCCUUCAAUAGCAACGACCCAAAAACCGCCAGAAAAGAAACCAAGAUGGAAGAGGAGGACCACCUAGAGGUUAGGAGUCUUGAAAGACCUAUGGACCCAUUGCACUGUCUGCACCUGAUUUUUGGUUUGUUUUUAGAGCUCUAGGCCUAACAUGGGGCUUGGACUCACGACCCUGAGAUCAAGAGUCGCGUGCUCUGUCGACUGAGCCCGCCAGGCGCCCCUGCACGCCCCUGGAUCCCGAUCCCGAUCCUGACCCGGACAAACAAACAGAAUUAGGAGAUGAUUAGGGAAAUGUGAACACUGACUAGCCUGACCAUACUAAAGAAACUGUUGAUUCUUUUUAGGUGUGACAGUGAAAUCGCAGUUAUGCUCUUCACAAUUCCUUAUCUUUAGAGAUGUGCCCAGAUAUAUUUACAGCUGAAAAGCUACAAUGUGGGGCGCCUGGGUGGCUCAGUCGUUAAGCUUCAGCUCAGGUCACGAUCCCAGCAUCCUGGGAUCGACCCCCACAUCAGGCUCCCCACUCCGAGGGAAGCCCACUUCUCUCUCUCCUACUUCCCCUGCUUGUAUUCCCACUCUCACUUUCUCUCCCUCUGCCAAAUAAAUAAAUAAAAUCUUAAAAAAAAAAAAAGGAAAGAAAGAAAAGCUACAAUGCUUGGAUUUUCUUCUAAACAACACAGCGUGGGUGGGCAGUGGGGGUAUGGAUGAGUCGAGACUGGCCGUAAGUUGGCAAACUACUGGCCCUGGUGAAGGGGGUUCCUUCUACAUGUGAAAUUCUCCACAGUGAAAAGGCAGAGAUAAAGGAAAGGGCCACCACCCGAAUAUCUGGACUUCACCAGCCUGCACUACCAGCCUGUAGGAGGAAUCUGACAGCGAGAAGCUGCCAUUUCCAUUCAG